GAUGAACGCUAGCGAUAGGCUUAACACAUGCAAGUCGAGGGGCAGCAUUAUUUUAGCUUGCUAAGAUAGAUGGCGACCGGCGCACGGGUGCGUAACGCGUAUGCAACCUGCCUGUAAUUAGGGAAUAACCCGGUGAAAGUCGGACUAAUACCCUAUAUUCUUCUUUCUCCGCAUGGGGGAGGACGGAAAGAUUUAUUGAUUACANNUGGGCAUGCGUCCCAUUAGCUGGUUGGUAAGGUAACGGCUUACCAAGGCAACGAUGGGUAGGGGGACUGAGAGGUUGACCCCCCACACUGGUACUGAGACACGGACCAGACUCCUACGGGAGGCAGCAGUGAGGAAUAUUGGUCAAUGGGCGAGAGCCUGAACCAGCCAAGUCGCGUGAAGGACGACGGUUCUAUGGAUUGUAAACUUCUUUUGUAGAGGAAUAAUGGCAGCUACGUGUAGCUGAGAUGCAUGUACUCUACGAAUAAGUAUCGGCUAACUCCGUG
Molecule: ribosomal RNA, 491 nt
Filed under: Porphyromonas endodontalis
Lineage: Bacteria; Pseudomonadati; Bacteroidota; Bacteroidia; Bacteroidales; Porphyromonadaceae
Description: bacterial SSU rRNA
Rfam family: Bacterial small subunit ribosomal RNA
Source: RNAcentral